Molecule: unclassified non-coding RNA, 250 nt
Filed under: plant metagenome
Description: partial contains small subunit ribosomal RNA, internal transcribed spacer 1, and 5.8S ribosomal RNA
Rfam family: 5.8S ribosomal RNA (bases 203-250)
Source: RNAcentral
GUAGGUGAACCUGCGGAAGGAUCAUUACCGAGAUUUUUUCCUGCUUGCAGGAAAUCUCCCACCCUCUGUGUACCAAAUUUUAUACUUUGGUGAAGCGUUUUCUUCACAGGAACCAUCGGCUGUCAAGCGGGUGUGUCUUCACCAAAGGACCCCUUAACUCUUUAUUUUAUCAAUUGUCUGAGUUUAUAUUUUAAAUAAACAAAACUUUCAACAACGGAUCUCUUGGUUCUGGCAUCGAUGAAGAACGCAG